AGUGAACGCUGGCGGUAGGCCUAACACAUGCAAGUCGAACGGCAGCACAGUAAGAGCUUGCUCUUACGGGUGGCGAGUGGCGGACGGGUGAGGAAUACAUCGGAAUCUACUUUUUCGUGGGGGAUAACGUAGGGAAACUUACGCUAAUACCGCAUACGACCUACGGGUGAAAGCAGGGGAUCUUCGGACCUUGCGCGAUUGAAUGAGCCGAUGUCGGAUUAGCUAGUUGGCGGGGUAAAGGCCCACCAAGGCGACGAUCCGUAGCUGGUCUGAGAGGAUGAUCAGCCACACUGGAAGUGAGCCACGGUCCAGACUCCUACGGGAGGCAGCAGUGGGGAAUAGUGGACAAUGGGCGCAAGCCUGAUCCAGCCAUACCGCGUGGGUGAAGAAGGCCUUCGGGUUGUAAAGCCCUUUUGUUGGGAAAGAAAAGCAGCAGGUUAAUACCCCGCUGUUCUGACGGUACCCAAAGAAUAAGCACCGGCUAACUUCGUG
RNAcentral lists this ribosomal RNA (492 nucleotides) under uncultured bacterium. RNAcentral describes it as "partial 16S ribosomal RNA". It matches the Rfam family "Bacterial small subunit ribosomal RNA", at positions 29 to 507 of the family's 1533-position model. The record is from RNAcentral.